RNAcentral lists this non-coding RNA (781 nucleotides) under Brachycentrus kozlovi. Lineage: Eukaryota; Metazoa; Arthropoda; Insecta; Trichoptera; Brachycentridae. The record is from RNAcentral.
AAAGUUAAUUUUAACUUUUAUAUUUAUUAUAAAUUUAUAUUAUAAAAAUAAUUUAUUUACUUUAAUAAUUUUAAAAAUUAUUAAAUUUAUGUAGAUUAUAUAAUUUUAAAAAUUAAAGAAAUUUAAAUUUAGUAAUAUUUUAAAAAUUAAUAAAUUUAGUGCCAGCAAUUGCGGUUAUACUAAAAAUUUAUUAAAUAAUAUGAUUUUAUAUGAAUUAAUAAGUUUGUUUGAAAAUUAAAAUUAAAAUUGUUAGGUAAAAUUUUAAUUUUAAUAUAAUUUAAAUUUAUAAAUAAUUAUAUGAAGUUUAAUAAUCUAAACAAUAAACUAGAAUUAGAUACUCUAUUAUUUUAGAAAAAUUAAAAAUAAAAUAAGUAAGUAAAAGUUAUGUUCUAAAAAUUUAAAAAAUUUGGCAGUAUUUUAAUUAAAUUAGAGGAAUCUGUAUAUUAAUUGAUAAUCCACAAUUAAUUUUACUUAAUUUUAUUAGUUUAUAUAUCGUUGUUAUAAAAAUUUUUUUUAGAAAAUAAAAAUUUAAAAUUUUUAAAAUAAAAUUAUAUCAAAUCAAGAUGUAGCGAAUGAUUAAGAAUUUUAUGGAUUAUUAGUAAAUAAAUUUAUUGGAUUAUUUUUUGAAAAUUAAAAGUUUAAAAUGAGAUUUAAAAGUAAUUUAAUUUAAAUUAUUUAAAUGAUUAAAUUUUAAAAUAUGCACAUAUUGCCCGUCACUUUCAUUAAAAAUUGAAAUAAGUCGUAACAAAGUAGAGAUACUGGAAAGUGUUUCUAGAAAGAU